Molecule: long non-coding RNA, 3900 nt
Organism: Eriocheir sinensis (Chinese mitten crab)
Lineage: Eukaryota; Metazoa; Arthropoda; Malacostraca; Decapoda; Varunidae
Exons: 2
Source: RefSeq, a predicted model, not a curated record
GGGUGGGCGUACGUGCGACCUCGUCCGCUAUUUCCUGUCCUACUUCUGUCCUGCACACCUUCCCACGCACUACCACUGGCCACAGAGGAGCAUAAGGAUACCCUGAAUAUAUAGGCAGCAAGAACUCCCCGGGGGAUGUCUGAGAUAUUGAUUGUCUGCUGGUAAUCAUUCUCCCAAGACUGACGUCCUACCCUGAGCAGCUUCCUUUAGCCUCCCUCCCUUCACCUCAGACCCUCCACCACCACCACACCUUCAGGUCAUCCUUCUCGCCUCCUGCCGUCUGUAACCUGUCAUGAUAUUGCAAAAGAGGAAUGAGUUUUUUUUUCAUCUCUGUAAACAAUAAGAGAUAGUAAUGGAAUAAGGUGUAAGACAAGGUAUAACAUGGUACAGAAGGUAAUGUGGUAAGUGUAUAUUUAAUUGAAGGCAAGUUUUUUCUAUAUAAUUUCCAUGUAACAUUUGAAAAAAAUUACAAUAAACAUCCUUAUUUUUUUUAGCAUCUUUUGGUCUUAUGUUGUCACUGAGUAAAUAUAGGACCUGAGAUUCAUAUGAUUGCACAUAAAUCCUCAAUAGAUAAUUUCGUCUUCUAUAAUAUUCACAUCAGGAAGAGUCUGCUGUUGUUAUUUUUUUGUUUAACUAUGUAAAGCAAGAGGAAUCAACUGUCUGUGUGAUUUUUAUAUUUUCUUUGCAGCUUCAGUGACCCUCUCCUCUUCAGACAGCAAUCCCUCAUGACCCACAUUUCUUUCUCCUUCUAGCUAUGUCCCCUCGUCCUAGAAAUUUAAUCUCCCUGACUUCAAUUUCAACAUUUAAUUAACGUUUAGUUAGUAUUUCUUCCUUGCUCCACUACCAAGGCCUUGUUCAGUCCGUACACUAAUCUGCUUUCCUGUGUUCUCGCCUCCUCAAAACUUGUAAUGUGCCAUGCCGGACCUCCAACUUAUUAUUUUUGUUUUUCUUACAUCAGAGACGCUUCAUGGACAAUUGUAUUAGAGAAAAGGCCUGUUUGGAGUAUUAAUCAGGCCACCCACAAAAAAAUUCCAGGCAACACUUACCUUUCUUGGGCUGUGAGACAAAUCAAUUCACCCGGCCUGAGCAGGGCUUGAAUCAUUGCCUGCUGUGCCGUGAAACCUGGCAGCGCAGCACUGUAACCGACUGAGCUAUCGGAGUGGUGUGUGUGUGUGUGUGUGUGUGUGUGUGUGUGUGUGUGUGUGAGGCCACGAGAGAGCCACACAGAGGACAAUGCUUUCUGCCACAUACUUCCUCAGUCCAUCUUGCAGUUCAUUCUCACAACAAAUAUUCUUGCUAAACUUUCAGUGAUACUCUCACUUAUUUUUAAAAUAAAAUUGAGGCAGGAGAAGACUUGAAGCAACUGUUCACCUCAUAGCUGUUAUAUCAAAAAUAUGGUUAAACAUGAGUUCUAGAAGGAAACAGUCAUGUCGAGUCUGCUCCUGUCUUUAAUUUAUUGUAUAGACGGGGGAAAGUGUUGCACCCCUAGAGGGGAAAAUUUAGUAAGAAUUCAUGAAAAUUUGGUAUUGGAAAUCAUCAUGGAAUCAUUACAAUCACCUGAAUAGCAAUUUUGUAACAGCUCAGUCGAUUCUCAGAAUUUGUGGGUUAUUGUGGUAUUUACAUAACACAAUGGAUAUUUGUUUUACCCUUCUGAUAAACCAUGUGAGGCAUAAUUCAGGUGUUGGUGUUCACAAGGUUUUGGAGCAAAGCCUUCACCAGCAGCAAGGCGAGGAGCCAGUGUGGAUCCUUCUAUUGGUGGACACACAGAAGCCCUUUGGUAGAGAUCCAGAAAUCAUACCAAAGCUAUAUUUCUAAAAAAUAUUUAUUCAAUUUAAAAUUUUUCUUGACUCUGAGCUUGCUCCUAUACAUUUUUCUAUUUAUCUUUUAUGGAAAAUGUGACAUACACAUUUUACUUUAUCUAUUGAGCUUGUGGAAGAAAUGUGGGUUUACUGAACCUAUUUUUUAAGAUUGUUUUUAGGAGAUAUUGGUCAGUAACUUUUUGUGCACUCCAGUGAUGGUAGGUUUUCCUGAAGGGCCGAUGGUUAGCCUCAGGCUACUAGUGGCAGGGGUGAAUAUUUUUUUAAUGUCUCCAUUAUUACAGAAUUUUCUUGCUGGGCCUUUGCUGGGCCCUGGUGCUCUUCUUGACAUAAGUCACUGAAGUAGAAUUGAUAUGUGCUUAUCUAGACGGGAACUGAGUGGUCUUCAACUACUUGACAAUAGUUGAAAAUUGUGGCAAGACAUGAACUUGGGACUAAAGGCCACAAGUCAUCACUGCUGCCUUUUUGCCCUUUCCCAGUGAUAAGUUGUAGGAGAGAAUGGGGGAGAAUGAAUUCGUGGAGAGAGUGUAUGAGGGAAGGAUUGAGGGAGGGGGUGUCAGGGGAAAAUCACCUGUGAAGUGGAUCAGUAGGGUGAGUGAGUAUUGGAGCGAGAGAAUUGGAAGUAGCAGGAUUGAAUGUGCUGAGAGGGAGUGCCAGAACAGGGAGAGAUGGAGACACUUCUGCUGCAGCCACCCCCUGGAUGGAAGUCCCCAUGAGGGAGCAGGGUUUCGGAGAUAUAGAUAGAUAAAAGUUGUUGAAGAAUUGUAAUGACUUUCAACCCUGGGUGGGUGGCCUUAUUUCUUGUCAUGGAACUUGAUAUUGCAUCCUGCACAAAGUCAGUCAUGAACAUAAUUUUGUCUGUUCGAGUGGAAUCAUGUAAUUGAUUCUGCAUCACAAAGUUCUUCCAAUUAAUCAGUGUUCAGAGAAAGACUUUGGGCCAUGCUGGCGUUUUAUUGCCGCUGCAACCACAGUCAGUGUUUGGCAAUGCAUUUGAGGUGACGUCCAGACUCUUAUUCCACCUUCCACAUAAUCCUAGACAAAAAAGUCGCCUCAGGUGUGGUUUGACUAAUGAGAUGUACAUCUAAGGAUUUAGGAUGAUUCUUCACUUUGAUCACUAGCUAGGACAGUCAUAGUUUAUGAUCCAGUCAGUCUCUCUGCCUUACAGGUUUGACCUGGAUCCCCACGCCACACCCUGGGCUACCACCUGCUUGGGUCACAACCCAACCCUCCUUCCCCCAUGCAGUAUCCAGGUGAGUAGAAAGGCUCAGGUAUACAAAACAUUUAUUUCAUAUGUAUACAUGGACAGUUUUCUCUUCCUCAAAAGGGAGGCAUCAACCCUGCCUGAGGGAACAUGUCACUCCAUAUCUGGGAACGUGUUGUACAGUGUUCAGGACAGUGGAAGGCACAGUGCUUGAGCUCCUUAGGUCAAGAAGACUCACAAAGUCAGUCUGUGAUUGCUUAAGGCACAUUUUUAUUAUCUAAGGCAAAAUUAAAAGAUGUAAUCCUAUAUUCAACUGAUGCAUGACAUAUUUCACUGAUUAUCAUACAUGUACCCUUUGUGUAUUCUCAUUUCAAUAAGCAAUUUUGUGCUCUCAGUAAGUUGGCUGUUUAUGUUAAGAGUCCAGAGGCUGAUAAUAAUAAUGCCUGAAUAUCUUUCUGAUCGAGUUAAGAUUUUUUGCUUCAGGCAGAUAACCCAAAACUUUACAGUGACUAACUUGUCUUUCCAAUGAAAGACAAGUACAUACAAUUGAUAAUCUUCAAGGCAGCUUAGUCAAACUCUGGGAUCUCUGCAGUUUUUUAACAUAUAUCAAAUUCAUGUGUUUCUUUGUUAAAUUAAUAUCUAACAAAUUUGUUCGACAUAAUUUUUAAAGUAAAAAUGGAACACGAACACCACUUGAUGCUAAUGUAUUACAUGUCAACAGUGUCUGCCAGUUUGCCUCCCAGGGAGGAUGCGGCAGACACACUCAUCCAUGGAGUGAGGACAACAUUCUCUCAUGUCACAUAAGAAAACAAACAUUCCAGAGGGAAAGUGAGAGGGAGAGAGAUUAGUAGCAUGACAUAACCUAAUAAAUAAGAGGCAGAG